GCUGGGUGUGGUGGCUCAUGCCUGUAAUCCUAGCAGUUUGGGAGUCUGAGGCAGGAGGAUCACAAGUUCAAAGCAAGGUGCUAAGCAACUCAGUGAGACCCUGUCUCUA
This 109-nucleotide small RNA is filed under the name Marmota monax (woodchuck). Lineage: Eukaryota; Metazoa; Chordata; Mammalia; Rodentia; Sciuridae. The record is from RNAcentral.